CCUACGGGAGGCAGCAGUGGGGAAUCUUGCGCAAUGGGCGAAAGCCUGACGCAGCAACGCCGCGUGUGUGAUGAAGGUCUUCGGAUCGUAAAGCACUGUCGCGAGGGACGAAUAAGGGGCGGGCUAACAUCCCGUUCCGAUGACGGUACCUCGAGAGGAAGCACCGGCUAACUCUGUGCCAGCAGCCGCGGUAAUACAGAGGGUGCAAGCGUUGUUCGGAAUUAUUGGGCGUAAAGCGCGUGUAGGCGGCUUUGCAAGUUGGGUGUGAAAGCCCUCGGCUUAACCGAGGAAGUGCGCCCAAAACUACGAGGCUUGAGUGCCGGAGAGGGUGGCGGAAUUCCCGGUGUAGAGGUGAAAUUCGUAGAUAUCGGGAGGAACACCAGUGGCGAAGGCGGCCACCUGGACGGUAACUGACGCUGAGACGCGAAAGCGUGGGGAGCAAACAGGAUUAGAUACCCUGGUAGUCCACGCUGUAAACGAUGAGCGCUAGGUGUUGUGGGUGUUGACCCCCGCAGUGCCGCAGCUAACGCAUUAAGCGCUCCGCCUGGGAAGUACGGCCGCAAGGCUAAAACUCAAAGGAAUUGACGG
Molecule: ribosomal RNA, 588 nt
Filed under: uncultured bacterium
Lineage: Bacteria
Description: bacterial SSU rRNA
Rfam family: Bacterial small subunit ribosomal RNA
Source: RNAcentral